GCCUCCUUAGCUCAGACGGUAGAGCGUCUCACUCGUAAUGAGAAGGUCAGCAGUUCGAUCCUGCUAGGAGGCUCCA
RNAcentral lists this transfer RNA (76 nucleotides) under Sinomonas atrocyanea. RNAcentral's name for it is "tRNA-Thr". It matches the Rfam family "tRNA". Rfam says of the family: Transfer RNA (tRNA) molecules are approximately 80 nucleotides in length. Their secondary structure includes four short double-helical elements and three loops (D, anti-codon, and T loops). The record is from RNAcentral. RNAcentral also lists the same sequence under 8 other names. Lineage: Bacteria; Bacillati; Actinomycetota; Actinomycetes; Micrococcales; Micrococcaceae.